RNAcentral lists this long non-coding RNA (234 nucleotides) under Pelobates cultripes (western spadefoot toad). The record is from RNAcentral. Lineage: Eukaryota; Metazoa; Chordata; Amphibia; Anura; Pelobatidae.
AACAAACUCAUUGGUGGAACAUGAAGGUGGACCCUGGGACCCAGACCUUGAGCUGUGUAAAGGGCCCCCCAAAAAAUGGAGCUGCUUACCGUUCUCCCAGAACAUUGAUUUUUGUGACCACAGUUACAAACAGCCUCCAGAGAGCCUGUUCUACACCAGACCAGUGGAGCCAGACUGCAGCUAGAGCCCAUCAUCAUCCUCAUCUUGUUGUAAGUAGGCAAUCUAGUAUAUUAU